RNAcentral lists this ribosomal RNA (465 nucleotides) under uncultured bacterium. RNAcentral describes it as "bacterial SSU rRNA". It matches the Rfam family "Bacterial small subunit ribosomal RNA", at positions 338 to 795 of the family's 1533-position model. The record is from RNAcentral.
CCUACGGGAGGCAGCAGUGGGGAAUAUUGCACAAUGGGGGAAACCCUGAUGCAGCCAUGCCGCGUGUGUGAAGAAGGCCUUCGGGUUGUAAAGCACUUUCAGCGAGGAGGAAAGGGUGUAAGUUAAUACCUUACAUCUGUGACGUUACUCGCAGAAGAAGCACCGGCUAACUCCGUGCCAGCAGCCGCGGUAAUACGGAGGGUGCGAGCGUUAAUCGGAAUUACUGGGCGUAAAGCGUGCGCAGGCGGUUUGUUAAGCGAGAUGUGAAAGCCCCGGGCUCAACCUGGGAACCGCAUUUCGAACUGGCAAACUAGAGUCUUGUAGAGGGGGGUAGAAUUCCAGGUGUAGCGGUGAAAUGCGUAGAGAUCUGGAGGAAUACCGGUGGCGAAGGCGGCCCCCUGGACAAAGACUGACGCUCAGGCACGAAAGCGUGGGGAGCAAACAGGAUUAGAUACCCGAGUAGUC